This 782-nucleotide ribosomal RNA is filed under the name uncultured bacterium. RNAcentral's name for it is "bacterial SSU rRNA". It matches the Rfam family "Bacterial small subunit ribosomal RNA", at positions 10 to 792 of the family's 1533-position model. The record is from RNAcentral.
AGUUUGAUCAUGGCUCAGGAUGAACGCUAGCGGGAGGCCUAACACAUGCAAGCCGAGCGGUAUUGUUUCUUCGGAAAUGAGAGAGCGGCGUACGGGUGCGGAACACGUGUGCAACCUGCCUUUAUCUGGGGGAUAGCCUUUCGAAAGGAAGAUUAAUACUCCAUAAUAUAUUGAACGGCAUCGUUUAAUAUUGAAAGCUCCGGCGGAUAGAGAUGGGCACGCGCAAGAUUAGCUAGUUGGUGAGGUAACGGCUCACCAAGGCGAUGAUCUUUAGGGGGCCUGAGAGGGUGAUCCCCCACACUGGUACUGAGACACGGACCAGACUCCUACGGGAGGCAGCAGUGAGGAAUAUUGGUCAAUGGGUGCAAGCCUGAACCAGCCAUCCCGCGUGAAGGACGACUGCCCUAUGGGUUGUAAACUUCUUUUGUAUAGGGAUAAACCUACCCUCGUGAGGGUAGCUGAAGGUACUAUACGAAUAAGCACCGGCUAACUCCGUGCCAGCAGCCGCGGUAAUACGGAGGGUGCAAGCGUUAUCCGGAUUUAUUGGGUUUAAAGGGUCCGUAGGCGGACUUAUAAGUCAGUGGUGAAAGCCUGUCGCUUAACGAUAGAACUGCCAUUGAUACUGUAAGUCUUGAGUAUAUUUGAGGUAGCUGGAAUAAGUAGUGUAGCGGUGAAAUGCAUAGAUAUUACUUAGAACACCAAUUGCGAAGGCAGGUUACCAAGAUAUAACUGACGCUGAGGGACGAAAGCGUGGGGAGCGAGCAGGAUUAGAUACCCCGGUA